RNAcentral lists this ribosomal RNA (452 nucleotides) under Parageobacillus caldoxylosilyticus. RNAcentral's name for it is "bacterial SSU rRNA". It matches the Rfam family "Bacterial small subunit ribosomal RNA", at positions 341 to 784 of the family's 1533-position model. The record is from RNAcentral. Lineage: Bacteria; Bacillati; Bacillota; Bacilli; Caryophanales; Anoxybacillaceae.
ACGGGAGGCAGCAGUAGGGAAUCUUCCGCAAUGGACGAAAGUCUGACGGAGCGACGCCGCGUGAGCGAAGAAGGUCUUCGGAUCGUAAAGCUCUGUUGUUAGGGAAGAAGAAGUACCGUUCGAAUAGGGCGGUACGGUGACGGUACCUAACGAGAAAGCCCCGGCUAACUACGUGCCAGCAGCCGCGGUAAUACGUAGGGGGCGAGCGUUGUCCGGAAUUAUUGGGCGUAAAGCGCGCGCAGGCGGUCCCUUAAGUUUGAUGUGAAAGCCCACGGCUCAACCGUGGAGGGCCAUUGGAAACUGGGGGACUUGAGUGCAGAAGAGGAGAGCGGAAUUCCACGUGUAGCGGUGAAAUGCGUAGAGAUGUGGAGGAACACCAGUGGCGAAGGCGGCUCUCUGGUCUGUAACUGACGCUGAGGCGCGAAAGCGUGGGGAGCAAACAGGAUUAGAUA